UAAAAGGUAUUUUUGCCUCUUAAAUGAUAAUUGUAUUAUUUAUUGUUUUUAUUAUUUAUUUGUUGUUAUACAGAUUAUUUAUUAUUUGGAUUUUUAAUUGAUUUAUUUCAGCCUGACAAAUUAUUUAAGAAAAAGGAAGUUAAAGUUGAUUUUUUUUUUUUUUUUUUUUUUACAGUUUCCGCCCAACUCAGGCAUGUCGUCACCGCGCAGGUGCGUGGACGUUCGAAUUCAAAUCCACUUCCGGUGCCGGACCAAACAAACGGAACCACCGUUGCUUUUGUAUUUUCGUCUGUUUUUAUCGCUACUAAAGCGAAACGAAUCGACUUUCUGCCGUCAAACUGCUUUAUUGUUGAGUGUUGAAGCGGCACGCGCGUGUUUGACGUCAUUUUAGCGACUUAAAGAGCGGAAUUUUGACGGAAAGUGAUCACAGUCUGUCGGCCAUUUUAACUUCUGCUGGACUCCAGGAUUUUACUUUGUUGACCGGAAGGAGCCGUAUGUCACCUGUCCACACCUGGGUACAGCCACAAGACGGACAGCCAAGGUAUCCUGCUAUGUCUGCUGCUGAUGUUCCAGGAUGUCGCAACCAACGCUGGGAUGUCAACAAAAGCACAUGGGGCUUUGACGAGUCCUCUGACAACUCUGGAUCACAACGUUUGGUGAGUAAAAUAUCAAUUUUUUUACUCCA
Long non-coding RNA from Epinephelus moara (kelp grouper), 685 nucleotides. RefSeq lists it as uncharacterized. The record is from RefSeq and is a predicted model, not a curated record. The transcript is spliced from 4 exons. Lineage: Eukaryota; Metazoa; Chordata; Actinopteri; Perciformes; Serranidae.